Molecule: transfer RNA, 66 nt
Filed under: Eutropiichthys vacha (batchwa vacha)
Lineage: Eukaryota; Metazoa; Chordata; Actinopteri; Siluriformes; Schilbidae
Description: tRNA-Phe
Source: RNAcentral
GCUGGUGUAGCUUAAUCUAAAGCAUAACACGAAGAGUAAGAUGAAUCCUAGAAAAUUCCACAGGCA